This is a long non-coding RNA of Mus musculus (house mouse), 10071 nucleotides long. RefSeq annotates it as predicted gene 16322. The transcript has 6 exons. Lineage: Eukaryota; Metazoa; Chordata; Mammalia; Rodentia; Muridae. The record is from RefSeq and is a predicted model, not a curated record.
CUCUCUGUCUCUGUCUGUCUGUCUGUCUCUCUGUGUGUGUGUGUGUGUGUGUGUGUUUAAUCUACUUAGAGAAAAGCAUUGUACUUAAGAAGAUGCCUCCAAGAUGGCUGAGUGGUUAAGAGCAUGUACUAUUCCUAAGGAGGACUUGUGCCAGGAGGCUCAUGACCACUUGUGACUUGUUCCAGGGGAAUCCAAUGCCCCCUCUGGACACUCCAGGCACCUGCACUCACAAGCACACACCUACACACAGGCAUAUAUAUUUUUUAAAGAGCAUGCUUUAUUUAGUUCGAGUUCAUUAUGAUCAUUAAGCAAUUUGCACAAGUUAACCUCUCGAUGCCUAAACCAACAGUAAAAUGAAGCUAUGCAUUGCAUCUCAGCGCCAUGAACAUUAUGAAAUAAUGUUCGUUCAAUGAAAGUAUCUAGUUAAGUAGUUAACAUAUAGGAAGGAACUAAUAGUUAUUAUUGGGAAGACCAAGAAGGGAAGUCAUGGCAAAGGGGCCCCCAAGGGAAGUCAAAUCACCGGCGUCCUUACACACAAGAGCUGAACACACAGCCAAGGUUAGCCCUGUGGCCACCAAGAAGUCGGGUGAACACAAAGCUCAAACACAAGGGUGGGGAAGCACUCAGAACAGGAGAGUGUCACUAACUCCGUCAAGGAGUAAGUCACACACAGUAUGGCUGCAAAGAAGCCUUCAGAAACUCAGCAGAUGGGAAAGGGAGGAAGCUGGUGCAGAGGCAGAAGUGAAGGACAGACGCAGGUAAGGAGGCCGACUGGAGUGUCUGCUGUGCUGUGCUGAGCUGGGCUGGGCUGGGCUGUGCAGAAGGGAGGGGACCGGAAGGUGGAUACAGCUGUGGUCCCACCACAGUGGGCUGUGUUUAUGAAGUUUACAUUCUAGUCGCUGGGCAGUGGGAAAGUGAAAGGAGGGGAUUAAACAUGCCAUUUUGAUAGCAAUCCUUUUAAAGACAGAAAAGCAUCCUAAGUCCUUAAUCAUUACAUCCCGGAUCUGUUAACCGAAAAUGGCAACUAUGAUAAGCCUGCACUCCGAAACCAUAAAGAAUCCCAGUGCUCAGACUGGGCUGGAUCUGGCCGCCACCUCAUCAACUUGACCAGGAGGACGUUAAGGCACUUGUCUUUACAGCAGCAGAGAACAGCUGUGUUUACCCUGCGCAUGUGCUGUGUAGCUUGCCAUUACUAUCUCAUUUAACUCUCACGACACUCAUAAAAGGCACUAUUGACCCCAUUUGAGAUCAGAAAACCCAAACAAGGCUUGGGUCAUUUGACUAGUGACUGGCAGAGCCAGGAUUCCAAGGGAGGCAGACUUCAAAGCCCUAAAAUUAAGCCAGCCUGUGCAAAUAGGGCACUGCUCAGUUCAUUAAACAUCAUGCACUCAGAAAUCCUUUCUGUGUACCUGCUAGAGUUUAAAGCAUCAUGCGAGGCUGGUGACGCUGAAAUUUUACUGGGCAGAACAGCCAUGGGCAGAGCACUAAGACAUAAAUGUCCCCAGCCCCACCCAGAAAUUUUGGUUCAGGAAGCCCAGGAUGGAGUCAGGAAUCCAUUUUUUCACUUGUAAGUUCAGUCGAUAUGAUUCACCUGUUCUGUGAACUAUGCUAGCUGACUGUGAGGUUCAAAGGCAUUAGAGACUCCUGACCUCCGAGCACUUCUCAUACAAUAAUGCAAGCAUAAAGACAUCACAUGAGAGAGGUCAUACAAAAUAAAACAAGAAUGAACAGGAUUUGAUGAAGAAGGGGUCACUCUCCCGCUGGCAAAGGGAGACACAAUGAACCGUCAUCUGGGUGGGACGAGUAUCUAUUUGGAGAAAUGGGAUGAUGGUCAAAAAGAAAAUUAAGGAAAGCUGGAGAAGGCCCUGAACAUCAACCAUUACACUAGUCUUUUUACUUAGUGCUGGCUGAACAGAUGAUAGCUGAUGGUUUGAGAGAAGAGAACAGGACUAAGGCUAGCCAUAUUGUGUGUAACAGUUCCCUCACAAUGCUGGGCAAGAUCACAAUCGACAGCUGGCCUACCACAGCUCUAAGCCCCAAGAACCAGGAUGCGUAGUCUCAAAAAGCAGAACUGACAACUCCUGAGGCUGCGUGGAGGGCACAGCUCAGGGGUAUUUCUCACCUACUAAACCCAGAUCCUAGCACUAGCAGCCCAAGUUCCUUUUCAGAACUCCUCCUGGAACUGUGGUAGAGUGUUCGCCUAGCAUGUGCCCGGUUCUGGGUUCAUUUCCUGGUCCAGGAGUAGGGCUGGGUGUAUAUGGGUGGCAUCUAAUAUAUCUGGCCCGAAUCUACAAAGCACUCAUUUCACAAAAUACAGUUCAGGAGUAAGGUGUGGGUACACAGGCCUGAGCAGCCCACAUGCAUGUUACACCAUUUAAAUCUAAUACACACACACACAUAUCACUAUUUGGAGCAACACAAUCUCACUUUAUUCAGUAUUCUAACAAGUAUCAAGUGUCCAAUUUCCAAUUCUCAAACCCUAAGCAUUCUGGAAGCAAAACCUACAAGGGCAGAAGAGACCUCUAUGGAUUUGAGCAUCAAGGGAGGGAUAAAACACUUUAUAAAGGACACAGGAUCAAACCCAGCGAGUUCUCCACAGUCGUUUAUUCAAGUGUACAAAUGAUUCCAAGAGUCUUGAAAUGAAUGAGAGUCCUCCCUAGCGAUCCCAACAUCUACUACAAAACAUUCUUUAAAACAUGGAAUAUUUAGCUUCUCGGAGACACAAUGGUUCACACAUGCCAACUCAAUCCCCUUCAGCAGCAGCCACACCACAAGCCAACAACAAAGGCAGGGGCCUAUUUUAUAAAGAUGCCUGAUGGUGCCCUGUGCUGAUGGCACCGUGCUGCACCCAUUGAAGACGGGCUACGCUGAAGACGUUUAACUUGGUCAAGUUUUCCCAGACGAGCGUGCCUCUAAACUCCAUUUUCAUCCACAUCAAAAAAUAAGACUGUUACGAACUGUCUCAUGUAUACAUCCUGUCAUUGGUUACUGAAAUGAGGUAACAUCCUAUGACAUGCCACGUCCCCGCAGCAACAGGCUUUGUGACAACUUUCAAAGGAAGCGGCGACAUAUGAAGGGCCCUUGCUUCAUUCACUGACACCUACCAAUGGCUAGUAAGAAUUCACACUGUUUCUCUAAGGAUUUCCUCUAGCUUGUGUGGAUGUGCAUGUGUGUUUGUGGAGGUGCACGCGUGUGUAUGAAGGCCAACCGGAGCUCACGGGUUCAGCCCCUGCGAUCUUGCUGUCCUGACUCCCCAGUGUUGAGAUGACAAGUGUGUCACUGUACCCAGCUUUUCUAGGAGGGUGGUGGGAAUCACAGGCCUUCAUGCUUGCAUGGCAAGCCAUUUACCUACUGAGCUACCCCCAGCCCUUCAUCUAUGUCGUAAACACGGGAAAAGUAUCUUCAUGUGAGAAAUUUAGGUGUUAUCUCGCUGAAGGUCGAGCUUACAUUUAUGAUUAAGUUUCUUCCAUAUCCCAACACAUGAAUUUUACUUAUAUCCUUAUGCAGACAGCAAAUCCCCCAUCUAAAAACUACUCAAGACCUUGAAGUGGGAUCAAACAGCAGAAAGCAGUUCCUCUGAUAAACCAUUUGGCUGAAACAUUUCUAUUUUUCUGAGAUGGAAAACGGCUCGUGAUUGCCUGUUCCCCCAGUGAGAGCAUCGGUGGAGUCAGGGAUCUCCUGCAGUACAUCUGGUACUAUCAUAUCUAUCAAGAGAGACUCGGCUUAGGCAAUGCAUCCAGCAUCCUACAGAUAGUAAAUGGGGAUGCCAAAUCCAUAUUGAGACUUAGCAAGGUGGCUUGAGGCAAACAAAUACGGAUCUGACAGGGAUGCUGCAGUGUGGUUCGAAAGAUAACAUGCAUACCCAAAAAUUGAUGGAGCUCAAUGAUGUAAUGAAGGAGAGCCAGUGAGUUUCGCUGGUAUCUGUGUCAGCCAGGAUCUCCUCAUUCCAGAAGAAGAACUGCAGGGGUCUGGGGUAUCCUUGUGUAUCAACCAGGAAAUGGAGAAGCCUGUUCUAAGUUCACUUGAAGCCAAAUUACAAAGGAGCAGACGGGAUCCCAGAAACAAAGAUGGCACCAGCUACGAUUUAAGAUUCCAAGAAGAUGAAUCUGGAGUGGACCAAGAUCUGGUGUAGAGACUUACACCCUGUGUCAGCCAGCUGCCUGUGACCGAGACAAACAUCUGAGAUGGGUCAAUUUAAGGAGAGGAACUGGGAGAUGGUCCGGAUGGUAAAGCACUUGCUGUGUAAGAAGGAGAGACUGCGUUCAGGUCCCCAGUACCAAGGUAAAAAGCUGGCUGCAGUGACACAGUUCUGGCUCUAGGAAGGAGGAGAACAGGUGAUCGUCCUGAUUAAGCAAGCUCCAUGCUCAGUGAGAGACGUUGCCUUAAAAAAUAAAUUGGAAAGCCAGUGAGGUGCUUUUCUCACUGCUGUGACAAAAUAUCCAACAAGAAGCAACUUAAAGGAGGAAGGGUUUAUUUGGGCUCACAGUUUGAAAAGAUACAGUCCACGGGGCAGAGAAGACAUGAAGGCAGGACUAGAAGAGAGCUGGUCACAUUGUAUCAGCAUUCAGGAAGUAGACAGAAGUGGGUUAUUAUGUUCGGUUCUCCUUCUCCCUUUUAUUAAGUCUAUGACCCUAGAUGAUGAUGAUGCAGCCAAGGUUUAGGGUGAGCCUUCCCAUCACAAGUGUGUAUUCUAGACAUGCCUAAAGGCCAUUUGCCUCCUACAUGAUUUCAGAUCCUUUAAUACUGAAGAUAUUAACCACAGCAGAGAAAUAGAUGAAGAUACGUAACAUACCUAAUAUCCUAGUCUCUCUCUCCCUCUCCCUCUCCCUCUCCCUCUCCCUCUCUCUCUCUCUCUCUCUCUCUCUCUCUCUUUCUCUCUCUCUCUCUCUCUCUCACACACACACACAUCCUUCACAGAUGAACAGGUGUGCAUACAUACAACAUAUAUACAACAAGAAAAGGAAGAGAAAUGUUUUAUUUGGGCUUACAAUAAUGGAGUCUGUAGAGAAGUGUUCCUGUUGCUCUUACAUCUGUGGUAAGGCAGCGCACCUCAGUAAGUAGUUUGUUUUAGAGUAAAGCCAUUUAUCAUUAGACAGGAAAGCACAGGAUGACCCAGAAGCAAAAGCAGAGAUGGGAAGGAAUACACUCCCAUUAUCCUUCUAGCUCCUACCAAUACACUCCCAUUAUCCUUCUAGUUCCCACCAAUACACUCCUGUUAUCCUUCUAGCUCCCACCAAUACACUCCCGUUAACUUUCUAGCUCCUACCAGCUGCUGUAGUGCUAAGCAGAGGACCAAACCUUUGGGGAACAGUCUAGAAUGCUAAUUGCCAUUUUAAUUUUGCAAGCUUUUAUUAAGAGCUUUUAUUGGGGUUUAUUACAUAGUCUUCCUUAUACAGGCUGAUAUAGUAGGGUAAGCUCUGGCUCACAGAGCUGUGAAUAAUCCCUUUAUUCCAUUAUUUCCAGUACAAAGGCAUGAUGACACAGACAGAGAGGAUCUUUAAAGUUUGGCAAAGAUGAGCUCAAGUUUGGAGAAGCCUGUGACCUUGGGCAAAUUCCUUAACCCUCCAGUUCUUUAACUAUAUAAUAAGGGUAAUGAGGCUGCCUUACAGUUAAUUGAAUUAUAUAGGAAAAUUUACACAAAAGCUUUUAGUAUGUGCCUGGGACACAAAGCUAUGAAACAGACACCAGCUCCUUCCCUUCCCAUGCCCUGCACUCUGCAGCUAGUUUUCCCACAGCUCCAAGUACUGCUGUGACUCCUAGCUAGGCCCAGAAGCCCCUUGGGUAGGUCUCUGGGCAACAGACCCUGUGUGAAUCCAUCAAAACUGACCUCUUCCUUGUCAAGUUUCCGACCUUAUCUCUACUAUUGGGUAACCACUGAUUUAUAAUGAUUAACUCAGCAUUUUCUUUCUUCCCCCCCCCCCCAAAGAAACACUUGCUGCCUGUGUAUUUCAAGUACCAACCCCUGUCCCCAGAAUGCAAUAUCCAGGGACAGUGGCAAAUUUGGGUGCCCAGUUCCAUUGAUGUCCUCAUCUACUCUUAGGGUCACCACCUCUCCUUAUAACCAGAUAAUACUUAGGACCGACCUAGUGAUGGAACUAUAAAUAUUUAUGACCCUCGGUGGCUCCCGUAGGUGGUCACUAGUGCAUCCCUCAGUUACCAUUUCAAAUGUUCCCCAAGGGCAGUUUUUCUUCCAGGAAGAAAAAUGCAGCCCCUGAUGAGGAGUGUGGAUGGGGUCUCAGCUCCUUCCCUUAUCCAUGGACGCUCAGCAAGCAGGAAACUUUCUCCCCUCAGGCAGGACCAGCUCAUGGGGAAAGAGGAGAUCAAACAUGCUUCAUCUCUCACCUUGGCCUUCUGUCUUCAGGGCGGCAGGAUCUGAGAGAAGUCCUGUUUGCUCACUUCAUAGCGUUCUUUUGCCGUAGGUGGCUGCUGGCCGCUCAGGCUAUCACUCUGACAUAUUUCUCUAGUUUCUCAUAAAGACUAAAAUACCAUUUAAGUCUUUUCCCAACAGUCCUCAAACCAUGUGAGUAUUACCAAGCAUGAAAUUAUCAGCGAAAAACUCAAUUUUGAGGAGCUGAUUCUUAGGGAAAAAUAAGAAAGAACAUGUCUCCCUGUUAGUGCUGAGAUUGGCUUAUUUAUUUUAUUUUAUUUUAUUUUAUUUUAUUUUCCUCAGUAAUUUAGUUAUUGUGCGCUUCUUAAUCUUUGGAGAUUAAGCUGAGUUUUUCACCUAGACUCCAAUUUUCUCAUAAAUCUCUUCAUUUGGCUUAAUUUAAAUGUUUUGGCCAACUUCAUGGUUUAAUAAUGGGAAGUAAAAUUGGAGCCUUAAUGACUCCUGAGAACGGAAUUUUCAUUUCGUCUGGAAUUAAAAGAGCUGUUAAAGAGGGCGGACAUCCCGUCAGACAAGCUGCUACUACCUCUGCUUGUGGGUGCCAAGUGCAGCUAGAUAUUAUAAGUUGCUUUACACCCAGGGUAAUUCUCCAAUCUGAUUACUUGAAAAUCCUUUUGAAUCCACCCCUGCCUCCAGUCCCCUGCUUACUGUGCCCUAUUGAUCAGCUAUGAACUCGGAAUUGAAUGCAGGCCACCUGAGAAGCGCCCAGCUCCCCCAUGUGCCCCUCACGUGCUGGCUGUCAGAGCCAAGGCAAGUGACCCAGCUUCAGCGCAGGCUGUAUAUAAUGGGGGCCCUGAGCCCUCGAUUAUCAGAUAACUGGGCAGCAGAGUACUAUUUCAACACUUUAACCAGAGCAGCCUUCAUUUAAGAGAAGUCUGAAAAGUUUUUAAAGCCCCCUUUUUAGUAAGUUUACCACUGGAGAGAGAUAUCCACAUCAUGGCUACAUGGCUUCGGAUUCCCUCUUAUCCCAGAGCCGAGAAGAAACACUAUCUGGGCAGCUCCCCUCGUGAAGAAGGAGGCGCCAUGGAUUCUUUGGCUUGUAUAGAAUAUAGUGGGUCCUCUGAGACGGCUCAUGGGAGACCGUCCGGCACCAGGCAGAAGAAUGGGAGCUGGGCUUGCAUAGAGUGAUCCAUUCUCCUAUGAAUUCACUGGAUGGGUAGAAAAAAGAAUCUCACAUUCUCCAAGUAUGCCCUUCAGUUGUAUUCCAAGCCACCCUUCUGUACCACAUGUCCUUCUAAGCAAGGACUGGCCUGAGAUUACCCACUCGUUGUCCUGGGCUUCUCUUUCCUCAUUGAUUAUAAAUGUUUCCGGGGCAAGAAGCUUGCUUUAUAGUGUGUAUGAGUGUGCAUGCGUGUGCAUGUGUGUGAGUGUGUGUGUGUGUUUAUUCAUGCAUUGAUUGGUGAUUGAGUCAGAAAGUCAUUCCUUAUUCCAGCAUUUCUACACGCAGAAGAGUCUUGUUUCUCUGAGACCUGGGGCUCCUGAGAAAUGUACCCUUCCUUUUGAUGACAAUCAUGCUGGGUCUGUCUUAUGUAUGUGUGAGAACGUGCUGACUCAAAAACACUAAUAAUCUUACCAGAGGACAAAAUGACAAUAGUAAUCAUCUUCGGAUACUGACAUCUGGGUUGUUUUCUGUAUUUUUCCCUUUUAUAUCUGUUGGAUAUGUAUCUUACUUAACUGGUUGGCUUUGUUUAAAGAACUUAAGAUAUGGCUUAACUGAUAUAGUAGUGGAAGUUUCACAAAGCCAAAAUAAGAUUCAGAGUCGCAAUAAAGGAGUUUCUCAAUGUUGACCGCUGUGUUCUCGGUAUCUAGGGCAGAAGCCUGCGAGCAGAGGACUUCUGAGGCCCAUGCUUGACCUCAGAACACGAACUUACUAUCAAGCUUAUUAAUAGACGGCAUACCUCCUGCUAUUGUGCCUUUUCAGUCCCGUCUUUUGUUAUGUCUUCUAUGAUGCUGGAACUGCGUGUUACAUAUUUAUACAGUAAGAGAGUAAGUAUGUCAUGUGUCGUAUUACUUAACGGCAUCACAGUUUGUACAUAGAUAGACCCCCAUAUCUGAUCCCACAUGGAUCCAAUGUUGGACAAAAGUUGGACGUAAAGAAUUUUUAUAAAAAAUAUUAAUGACUUAAUUUUGUUUGAUUUUGUGAGACCAGGUUUUCCCGGUAGCCCAGACUUAGAAUUCUCUGACCUCCUGCACACAUGCUCUUCUCGGAGGCUGGGUAGAAACCAGAGAGCAACUCUGCCCGUCAGUCUUUAGGUUCCUUACCUCAUUUUGGGUUUUUUUUGGUUUUCGUUUUGAGGCAGGGUCCCUCACUGGCCUUGAACCCACAAAGUAGGCUAACCUGGCUGGCCAGUGAGCCGCAGAGAUAGACUUGUUUCCAUCUCCCCAUUGCUGGGAUUACACACAUGCAGUGAGUACCAGACCUAGGAUUUUUCUACACUUAGGAUCAAUCUCAGGCCCUAGUUUCUGAGUCAGUACUGUGCUGACUUAGUCAGAUCCCCAGCCCUGUGGCUACUAUUACUGCCAUAAUUCUCUUUGUAGGAUCGUCAUCACCAUGCUAUCAACUAGCUUCCAAUAAAACUGACUUCCAACCAAAUAUCAGAAUCGCCUAUGAAAUGGGUGUGACACCUUGUGAAGUCGUUGGCCAAAUGGGUCCGGUAAAACCUCCCAAACAUCACAGACUAUUGCCAAGUCAAUUAGUUACUUCCAGAAUCUGAUAGUAAGCCCCUAUGGCUGAAUACAUAAAUUACAUCACUGAAUAUGGAGAGAGCAAACUGGGGUCCAGCCAGAAGCUUCACUCCUGCUGACGAGCACUCGUGGCACCAUGAAUCAAGUCUGGAAGGUACCGUGCAUGCCACCAGACAGAAAAGUCACCAUCAGUUUAAGCCAGCUACCAGUUCUGAAACCCGCAACAGAGGCCUGUCUGCAAGACACCAGGUUCAAUAGAGACACAAAAGUAAACAGCCAUUUUCUUAAAAAAUUGGAUUUAAGGUCCACUCCGUGAGAUGGAACCCAUACUCAACACUGCUAAAGUGGCCAAGAACCUGAGACUAGAUAGGUGCCAGGUCCUAGAAAAAAAACAAAAAACACUACUAAUAUUAGGCUAAAUGAACUGAUGGUAGUGUUAUACCCAUGGAUCAGAGCAUCACCCAGCCCUCCUUGCUGGACCUUCUUCUUGCAGUAGUCGGUAAUUAACACACAGAGACUCACAAUUGGACUGUGUGUAGGCAGAGACAAACUGUGGAACUCUCGGUCUCAAAUGAGAUGUUUUCUGUAAAACUCUUCCUUCAAGGCUCAGGGAUCUGUAUGGAAGAGGGGGGCAGAGAAACUGUGAGAUCUAGAGGUGAUGGGUGACUCCAAGGAGACAGAAUCUUUCUGACACAGCAGGGCUGAUCCACCUGUGAACCCAUGGACACUGUAGCAGCAAGCGCAAGACCUGUAUGAGUCCAAAUCAGACAAAACACCAGCACUGACACAAAGUCUCACCCCUCACCAAGAAGCUAUUUCAAUGGAUAAUUGCUGAGAAAGGGAAAAUCAAUUUUCUCCAAUGUGGUAUCACUGAGUAUAUAUAUUAACCACACCCUAGGGCAGGACCCAUGUCCAGGAGUAGUUGACCAACCCAGAAUGGACACCAUGCUUUUUUUGUGUGCUUUUUGUUUUAUUUUGAUAGCUUUGUCUACUUGGGUGUA